GCAGAACGCGAAGAACCUUACCAACCCUUGACAUGGCAGGACGGUUACCAGAGAUGGUUCCUUCACUUCGGUGACCUGCACACAGGUGCUGCAUGGCUGUCGUCAGCUCGUGUCGUGAGAUGUUGGGUUAAGUCCCGCAACGAGCGCAACCCUCGCCCUUAGUUGCCAUCAUUUAGUUGGGCACUCUAAGGGGACUGCCGGUGAUAAGCCGGAGGAAGGUGGGGAUGACGUCAAGUCUUCAUGGCCCUUACGGGUUGGGCUACACACGUGCUACAAUGGCGGUGACAGAGGGCUGCUAGUCCGCGAGGACAUGCUAAUCCCUAAAAGCCGUCUCAGUUCGGAUUGCACUCUGCAACUCGAGUGCAUGAAGUCGGAAUCGCUAGUAAUCGCAGAUCAGCACGCUGCGGUGAAUACGUUCCCGGGUCUUGUACACACCG
RNAcentral lists this ribosomal RNA (437 nucleotides) under uncultured bacterium. Its description in RNAcentral is "bacterial SSU rRNA". It matches the Rfam family "Bacterial small subunit ribosomal RNA", at positions 954 to 1392 of the family's 1533-position model. The record is from RNAcentral.